GCGGAAGUGGUGGAAUUGGUAGACACGCUGGAUUUAGGUUCCAGUGCCGCAAGGUGUGAGAGUUCGAGUCUCUCCUUCCGCACCA
RNAcentral lists this transfer RNA (85 nucleotides) under Marinobacterium alkalitolerans. RNAcentral describes it as "tRNA-Leu". It matches the Rfam family "tRNA". Rfam says of the family: Transfer RNA (tRNA) molecules are approximately 80 nucleotides in length. Lineage: Bacteria; Pseudomonadati; Pseudomonadota; Gammaproteobacteria; Oceanospirillales; Oceanospirillaceae. RNAcentral also lists the same sequence under 1 other name. The record is from RNAcentral.